RNAcentral lists this ribosomal RNA (582 nucleotides) under Triticum aestivum (bread wheat). RNAcentral describes it as "partial small subunit ribosomal RNA". Lineage: Eukaryota; Viridiplantae; Streptophyta; Magnoliopsida; Poales; Poaceae. The record is from RNAcentral.
AUGUGGUCCUAUCUUUGUCAGCGCUAUCAGCCCUCUAGCGAUGCUCUCUACCUCUCUGUGGUGCGUCAGGAGCAUGCUCUUCAGCAGGGUGACUCGUCUGUUGAUGAAUUCUAUUCACAGUGCUCUGCCAUCUGGCGUCAGCUUGACUCACUGAGGAUAGUUGUUUGUGGAACUUGUCGUUGCUGUCAGACUACGCGGUCUGACUUGGAGUUUCAGAGGGUUCAUGAGUUCUUAUCUCGCCUCCGCUCUGAGUUUGAGCCCAGAUGUGCUCACUUGCUUGCUCGUGGUCGUGUUCCCAUCUCGGAGGUGCUUGCCGAGCUUCGUGCCGAGGAGACUCGCCUUCGCUCUGUUGGUUUGCUGGUGGUCCCGUCUGUGCUGGCUGCUCGGGCUCCUGUGUCGUCUGCUUGCCUCACUACUCCGCCGCUCCUGCCUACUCCUCCAGGGGGUCCUUAUGCUGAGAAGGGCACGUCGCACCAUGACACCUUCUGUGGUUACUGCUCCGGGCCAGGUCACCCAGAGUCUGAUUGUCGCCAGAAGAAGCGAGACCAGAGGUGCUCCUCCUCCAGCGGGCCUCCUGUGUCU